AUUUACACUUGAGUGAGUGGCGAACUGGUGAGUAACACGCUGGGUAAACCUGCCCAGAAGCGGGGGAUAACACCUGGAAACAGAUGCUAAUACCGCAUAACAACUUGGACCGCAUGGUCCGAGCUUGAAAGAUGGCUUCGGCUAUCACUUUUGGAUGGUCCCGCGGCGUAUUAGCUAGAUGGUGGGGUAACGGCUCACCAUGGCAAUGAUACGUAGCCGACCUGAGAGGGUAAUCGGCCACAUUGGGACUGAGACACGGCCCAAACUCCUACGGGAGGCAGCAGUAGGGAAUCUUCCACAAUGGACGAAAGUCUGAUGGAGCAACGCCGCGUGAGUGAAGAAGGGUUUCGGCUCGUAAAACUCUGUUGUUAAAGAAGAACAUAUCUGAGAGUAACUGUUCAGGUAUUGACGGUAUUUAACCAGAAAGCCACGGCUAACUACGUGCCAGCAGCCGCGGUAAUACGUAGGUGGCAAGCGUUGUCCGGAUUUAUUGGGCGUAAAGCGAGCGCAGGCGGUUUUUUAAGUCUGAUGUGAAAGCCUUCGGCUCAACCGAAGAGGUGCAUCGGAAACUGGGAAACUUGAGUGCAGAAGAGGACAGUGGAACUCCAUGUGUAGCGGUGAAAUGCGUAGAUAUAUGGAAGAACACCAGUGGCGAAGGCGGCUGUCUGGUCUGUAACUGA
Molecule: ribosomal RNA, 680 nt
Filed under: uncultured bacterium
Lineage: Bacteria
Description: bacterial SSU rRNA
Rfam family: Bacterial small subunit ribosomal RNA
Source: RNAcentral